UACGUAGGGGGCAAGCGUUGUCCGGAAUCAUUGGGCGUAAAGAGCGUGUAGGCGGCUUGGUAAGUCCGCUGUGAAAGUCCAGGGCUCAACCCUGGAAUGCCAGUGGAAACUGUCGAGCUAGAGUCCGGAAGAGGCGAGUGGAAUUCCUGGUGUAGCGGUGAAAUGCGCAGAUAUCAGGAGGAACACCAAUGGCGAAGGCAGCUCGCUGGGACGGUACUGACGCUGAGACGCGAAAGCGUGGGGAGCAAACAGG
Molecule: ribosomal RNA, 253 nt
Filed under: uncultured bacterium
Lineage: Bacteria
Description: partial 16S ribosomal RNA
Rfam family: Bacterial small subunit ribosomal RNA
Source: RNAcentral